Molecule: RNA transcript, 2334 nt
Organism: Halichondria panicea
Lineage: Eukaryota; Metazoa; Porifera; Demospongiae; Suberitida; Halichondriidae
Gene name: latrophilin-like protein LAT-2
Exons: 8
Source: RefSeq, a predicted model, not a curated record
UAGUCUACAUAGUUGGUGCUGUAAUAGCAGCAAUGCAGGCACAUGCAGUGUCAGUGUUAGUGGUUUUGGUAGCAUUGUCAGCUACUCCAAUAGAACCAGCAAUACUCACUCUGACCACCAACUCAUCUGAAAACUGUGGCAAAGGACUCACUCAUAAUGGAGUGUUUGUGCUGGUGGAGUAUCGUUUGAUAGAGACACAACCUAGCCCAUGGACGCUCCUUCAGAGUAUUAGCUUGAAUGCUACAGGUUUGCCUAUAAUAUAUACAACAGCUAGAUCUAUACCUAUAUGUAUUAUGUUCCACAAUCAUACAGUUGGCUUCACGAAAUCCCAGAUAGAUAUUAUUACACCUGGAAAUCUUCUGCCAAAUGACACGAUACAGCUGCGGAUCGUUCAGCCAGAACAUGGUGGUGGUUCCUGUAACUGCUGGGGAGUGGACGAACUGAGUUUUACAUCAACUAAUGGAAGCAGUGUCAAUGUUUCUUGUCAGGACUGUUGUGCAUCUAGUAGUCCGCCGAUGGAUAGUGAUAUCGAGAGUGACUACCCUGUACCGUUCUGUGGUGGCAGUGCCAGUGUACCGAGAGGAGUGGUCUUUCCUCCCGUGGGCCUGAGUGGCUCAGAAAUACUAUCGGAGUGUCCAUUGAAUUCUGUGUUAGUUGAUGACAAAGGACAGCCUCCAACUAAUUGCUCAAAUGAAGAGCCAAGAAUGGAGAUAUCAUUUGAGCUGAAUGUCAAACCGAUUGAUUGUUCUCCCAGAGGCUUUGAUGAGGGUGUUGAGAUUUCAGUUGGCGGCUGGGAGAAUAAUGGCCAAUGGAUACCAUUAAUGUAUGUUGCAAACACUAUUGAUAGAAUACCAGAUCGACUCAAUAUCAAUAUUGGUGCCAUAAAUGGGAGUACAGUCAAAAUCAGAGGCUACGAUGUCCCCUACCACUUACGAAGUGAACCAGAGGAAAUUUUUUUCAAUUUAACAGUUUGUGGUGCAGCUGUCCUGAGGAAUGGUAUUCGAAUAAGGUGGCUUCAAACUGGUGCAAUGUACCUCAGUGAGGAAAGCUAUUUGAGGGAUGUUGUGACGCUGAACAAUGUAUUUCAGAAUAGUAUUCUGCUAAAUAGCACCAAUUUUACCCUGCGCAAUAGUGAAGUCCCAACAUCGUCGACUAUUGAUUGUGUUCGCCCAUUUAACGGUAUCAUUGCCAUUUCAACUAAUGGAGCAAUAAUUUUUGGAGCAUUGUGUGAAACAGAAGAUUGUAAAAUUAAGAACAGAGUAAUAACAGCAAGUAGAAUUGCCACCACCAUCCCACUAGACACCAGUGAAUAUAACUCGAAAACUCCCACUUUCACUGAACAGCCUACCAUGGCUAUCACGGAGCAGGCUACCACUGAACAGCCUACCAUGGCUACCACGGAGCACGCUACCACUGAACAGCCUACCAUGGCUACCACUGAGCAGGCUACCACUGAACAGCCUACCAUGGCUACCACUGAGCACGCUACCACUGAACAACCUACCAUGGUUGCCACGGAGCAGGCUACCACUGAACAGCCUACCAUGGCUACCACGGAGCAGGCUACCACUGAACAGCCUACCAUGGCUACCACGGAGCAGGCUACCACUGAACAACCUACCAUGGUUACCACGGAGCAGGCUACCACUGAACAGCCUAUCAUGGCUACCACGGAGCAGGCUACAACUGAACAGCCUACCAUGGCUACCACGGAGCAGGCUACCACUGAGCAGGUUACCAUGGUUACCACGGAGCAGGCUACCACUGAACAGCCUAUCAUGGCUACCACUGAGCAGGUUACCAUGGCUACCACGGAGCCGGCUACCACUGAACAGCCUACCAUGGUUACGACGGAGCAGGCUACCACUGAACAGCCUACCAUGGCUACCAUGGAGCAGGCUACCACUGAACAGGUUACCAUAGCUAUGGCAAAUCUAGCAAGUGCAUUCUCAAAUUUAUCAAAAUUGGUAAACAACGAUAAGGAAUUAAUGGCGAUUGACACACAGCCUCCUGCACAAGCUGCUAUGUCUCUGAGGAUGGUGAUAGAAAGUGCUCAAGUUGUCGAGACAGCCAUCGCAUAUCUUCUGAGCAGGAUAGUCAUCAGAGCUAUGGAUGUUAGUAGUCCUCAAUAAUUUGCCAGGGUUGUGGUGGAUAUCGUCGACACACUAAUUAAUAGAACAUUCAUCAAUGAACAGUCCAACACUAUCGCUGGCAGUACUCUGUUAGCUACUGUCGGGAGUCUGGCCCUCAACGUACUACCUCCAGACACGAACAUCAAUACACAAAACAUAGAAUUAUUUGUGUUUGAGACACAAGUGGACAAUAAAGAUAGAU